This 127-nucleotide small RNA is filed under the name Marmota monax (woodchuck). The record is from RNAcentral. Lineage: Eukaryota; Metazoa; Chordata; Mammalia; Rodentia; Sciuridae.
GCCAGGUAGGGUGGCUCAUGCCUGUCAUCCCAGCGGCUCAGGAGGCUGAGGCAGGAGGAUCACAAGUUGGAGGCCAGCCUCAGCCACUUAGCAAGGCCCUAAGCAACUCAGUGAGACCCUGUCUCUA